GAUGAACGCUGGCGGCGUGCUUAAUACAUGCAAGUCGAACGGACAGAUCAGGAGCUUGCUCCUUUGACGUUAGCCGCGGACGGGAGAGUCACAUGUGGGUACCCUCCCUAUAAGAGUGGUAUAACCCCGGGAAACCGGGGCUUACGCCGGAUAACAUUUAGAACCGUAUGGUUCUAAAGUGAAAGAUGGUUUUGCUAUCUCUGCUAGAUGGACCCGCGCUGUAUUAGCUGGUUGGUACGGUAACGGCCUACCAAGGCAACGAUACGUAGCCGACCUGCGAGGCGGAUCGCCGACACGGGAGGGUGAACGCCGACCAUGCUCCUACGGGAGGCCGCAGUAUCGAAUCGGAGGCAAUGGGGGAGAUCCUGACGGAACGACGGAACGUGAGUGAUGAAAGCCUUCGGUGCGGAAAACUGUGUUAUGGGGGAAAAACAAAUUUGUAAGGAGCUGUGCACGUCGUGACGGUACCUGAUCAGAAAGCCACGGCUAACUACGUG
This 497-nucleotide ribosomal RNA is filed under the name uncultured bacterium. RNAcentral describes it as "partial 16S ribosomal RNA". It matches the Rfam family "Bacterial small subunit ribosomal RNA", at positions 28 to 507 of the family's 1533-position model. The record is from RNAcentral.